This is a long non-coding RNA of Polyodon spathula (Mississippi paddlefish), 467 nucleotides long. RefSeq lists it as uncharacterized. The record is from RefSeq and is a predicted model, not a curated record. The transcript has 2 exons. NCBI's taxonomy places the organism in Eukaryota, Metazoa, Chordata, Actinopteri, Acipenseriformes, Polyodontidae.
AACGAUUGAGUUAGUCCUGUCUUUACUUUUCCUAUUUUAACAGCUGUUCUCCCACCGAUGUUAGCCGCUGUAUCCCAGCCGACAUGGCAGGAGCAGGUUCCCAGGGGCACCGUCCACACUGCAAUGCCUGAGGAUUAGAAGGAAGUGGAUGCGGUAACAGGGUGUGUGUACAGAAACGUGCGAGGAGAACAUACCUUGUAAUCAGGACACGAGAAUAAACUCCAAGGGAACACUGAAUGAACGUCACGUGCCUCCUCUUUCUUUUCCUCCAACCCCACCUUUGCUGAGAUUAUUGGAGUAAAGAGGUGGAACUCGCGCGAUACAGCUGAAGGAGAAUUGGGUGGAAAGAAGACAGUGAAAAGUGGCUCCUGACUGAAAAGGCUAGUCUCUACAUUGUACCUUACCAAAAACCAAGUAGCUACCUACAUUUCUCUAAUUUGCUUAAUAAAAUAAAUAUGUUUUCUAAA